GACGAACGCUGGCGGCGUGCUUAACACAUGCAAGUCGAACGGACAGGCCCUGCUUUUGUGGGGUGCUCGAGUGGCGAACGGGUGAGUAACACGUGAGUAACCUGCCCUUGACUUUGGGAUAACUUCAGGAAACUGGGGCUAAUAUCGGAUAGGAGCUCCUGCUGCAUGGUGGGGGUUGGUAAGUUUCGGCGGUUGUGGAUGGACUCGCGGCUUAUCAGCUUGUUUGUGGGGUAGUGGCUUACCAAGGCUUUGACGGGUAGCCGGCCUGAGAGGGGGACCGGCCACAUUGGUACUGAGAUACGGCCCAGACUGCUACGGUAGGCAGCAGUGGGGAAUAUUGCACAAUGGGCGGAAGCCUGAUGCAGCAACGCCGCGUGCGGGAUGACGGCCUACGGGUUGUAAACCGCUGUCGCCUGUGACGAAGCGUGAGUGACGGUAAUGGGUAAAGAAGCACCGGCUAACUACGUG
This 468-nucleotide ribosomal RNA is filed under the name uncultured bacterium. Its description in RNAcentral is "partial 16S ribosomal RNA". It matches the Rfam family "Bacterial small subunit ribosomal RNA", at positions 28 to 507 of the family's 1533-position model. The record is from RNAcentral.